UGUUCGGGUCGAGGCGACGGCGGCGGUUCCUGUCGCCGACGUCGCGAGAAGUUCAUUGAACCUUAUCAUUUAGAGGAAGGAGAAGUCGUAACAAGGUUACCGUAGGUGAACCUGCGGUAGGAUCAUUG
Molecule: ribosomal RNA, 128 nt
Filed under: Glyptostrobus pensilis
Lineage: Eukaryota; Viridiplantae; Streptophyta; Pinopsida; Cupressales; Cupressaceae
Description: partial 18S ribosomal RNA
Rfam family: Eukaryotic small subunit ribosomal RNA
Source: RNAcentral